This 76-nucleotide ribosomal RNA is filed under the name Pestalotiopsis neglecta. RNAcentral's name for it is "partial 28S ribosomal RNA". Lineage: Eukaryota; Fungi; Ascomycota; Sordariomycetes; Amphisphaeriales; Sporocadaceae. The record is from RNAcentral.
UUUUUAAUGGUUGACCUCGGAUCAGGUAGGAAUACCCGCUGAACUUAAGCAUAUCAAUAAGCCGGGAGGAAUCAUU